Callorhinchus milii (elephant shark) is the source of this 1063-nucleotide long non-coding RNA. RefSeq lists it as uncharacterized. The record is from RefSeq and is a predicted model, not a curated record. The transcript is spliced from 2 exons. Lineage: Eukaryota; Metazoa; Chordata; Chondrichthyes; Chimaeriformes; Callorhinchidae.
UCAAUAGAGGGAGGGAACCCAUGAUCAACUGGGAAACUUUGUACACAUUAAUACUCAAACAGGGAAAAGAAGAAAAGUUUCAGAUUUCAAACCCAUCUCAAUAUAUUUCUUCUUUUUUUAUCCUCACAGAGUACCCAAACGAGAUGAUGCUGGAAGGUUUUCUAGAAGAUGGAAGUGGUAACCUCUGGCCAACUGCUUCCACCUUCAUCAUUCUCUUCUUCCUGAGUAUUUUAUACAGCGCAGCCAUCACUCUAAUUAAGGUAAUAUGAGCUUCUUAACAUCAGCUUCACCGAUGGUCCUGGUCAGUUUGUGUUUAAUAUCAAUGUCUUGCGAAAGAUGAUGUGAUAUGCUCCCCCCGCACCUCUCAGACCUCCUAACCCCCGACCAUCUUGUUUGCUCCCUCUGGUCAGUGGGCUCCAGCUGACAUCACGUCCCCAUUCUUGCUCACCUCACUAUUGGUAGGCGGACAAUCUGCCACUCUGCCCCCACCCUCUGGAACUCCAUCCCGCAGUCCCUCAGCCUCACCCCCUCCCUCGCCACCUUUAAGACCCACCUCAAGACCCUCCUCUUCGACCGUGCUUUUGAUCUCCCUGCUUCUCCCCCUGUCCUCCACAUUGUCCCCACCCCAAUCCCCAGCUCAGGUCCGUAAGUCUGUCUGUCCAGCACCUUGGGACGUCCUCUCAACAUGAAAGGCGCUGUACAAAUGUAAUCUUGUUGUUGUUGAUCUCUUUUUUCACCCAUUGUACAAAUUCGAUGGAAGUAAACAUUGUAUUGUGCAACUUCGUGAACUUUAGUGACUUUCCUUAUUGUUAGUUUAUUUUGCAAUGUGCCUUUUGGUCAUAAUAAUUAAUGUUGGUAUUUCAUAUAACGUCCCUCACGUGUCUCUGAUAUUCUUUAUUUGCUGUUUAACAUUUGUGUGGUGUAACGAUCCAGAAAUACGGUGGCUGAGCUACUCUGCCCUUUGAUUUUAAUCUGAAGUUGAUCUUUUGUGUUCUGAUCCUGUUUGAAAAGUCUACAGAUUCUGUGUAUUGUUUGCCUGAAAUAUCAAUAAAAGUGAUCAAAC